Cercocebus atys (sooty mangabey) is the source of this 11987-nucleotide long non-coding RNA. RefSeq lists it as uncharacterized. The transcript is spliced from 2 exons. NCBI's taxonomy places the organism in Eukaryota, Metazoa, Chordata, Mammalia, Primates, Cercopithecidae. The record is from RefSeq and is a predicted model, not a curated record.
AUGUAAAUCACACUUGCAUUAGCUUAAAUACUGCACAGUCAUUAGACACAUGCUUUUAGCUUGGCUUCCAGGAAGACACAUUAGUUCAAUGUGUAUGCCAAAGGUUUUUUGUUUUGUUUUGUUUUAUUAUCCCUUUUUUGGGUAAAAAUGACAUAAGUAAAUUCAAGUCCCUGAGGGACUACUCUUUUCCUAAGGAGAUGUUCUUUGUACACAAAGAUUUUUUCCACUUUUUAAAAUUUGUAUAAAUAGAAAAUUGCUAUGUUUCCCUUCAAUAACUAAACACUUUUUACUAUUUCCUUGAAUUACAGAUAAAGAGUCAUUAAAAAGUUUAAAAUAUGAUCAAAUAUGUUUCCAACAGAACAUGCAAACAUAAUCUUCCUGCUCUACUAUUCAUGCCAAAGCAGCUAUACCUGAUAUCUUUAACUGUUAACUACAGUUCUAGAAAUUCUCUAUACCAGUCAAUCACAAUGCCACACAAUAUGCAGUAUUCUCCCUUCUCCCAACACUGUCAAUGUCUCACUACUCUCCUAAUCUUAAUCCCUACCUCAUACCACAAAGCAAUGAUCUCACUAGGCUUCCAAGAUAAUGGAAAAGAGCAAGUCUACAAACAAAUAUAGAAGUUCCAUUCUGGGUGAUUAUUUGGAACACGCAACACAUUCUGGGCCCAAACCCCUAGAAAAUUCUCCAAGAGAAGAUGACACAAGAGCUAGGUCAUCAUCUGAUAUUGUUGUAGUUAACUCGGCUCCCUCUUCAAUGAAAUAAUGUCUUUUAGUUUGAUUGCUUUGACACCUGUUUUUUUGUUAUUUCUACUUUUGUUUGAUUUGUCUUUUGUUUUUUGCUUCCUGACUUAAGGCACUGAUAAUAUGCUGUCACGUAAUACAGUAACAUUCGAGAUGGAACUGGAGGAGCAGGGAACAUAGAGUGAUCGGGAAGAAAAGAGGGAAACCUGAGCAGAGAAAACUGGGAAAAGAACCAGAGGUUCUUCCCCUGGGCCACCAACUUCACCGAGAGUUGUCACAUAUGGUGUCUUUCACCACCAGAGAAGGUCUGGCUAAUUCCUUCAUUUUCAAUAACAACAAUGCUGGGAAAGGUCUGUUUGGUCUACCUCUUGAACAAUCAAUCAGGUAAGAACCUAGCAUUGUCCAUGACAACAGAGUAAUUGGAUCUGGGAAAGAAGCAGUGACCAGAAGAGGGGAGAGUAUAGCAAACAUGGCAUACGCCCAUUACGUAGGAGCCCUGUGGGAAAGCAGACAGAAGGAAAGGGUGUGUGUUGUUUCAUAACUUUCGUGGGAUCUCAUAGUUCUGCCUCGCAUUCUUUUUAUAAAAUUGGUAAUAGAUUCAUAAUCACUGAGUUGACUGCAUAAAUGAAUGUGUAAAUGAAAGUGACUGACUUCCAUGCUUUAUAAUUUAUGUCUUUUAAAAUUAGUUUUUAUAUCUCCUCUAUUGUUAUAAGUUUCAAUAACCAUUUUUGGCUAGAGGGCUUGUGAUACUGGCUUUAUGCAUUUCUGUUGUAACGUGAACUAUAUUGGAAUAGUUGGCAAACAUUAGGAGUCCUACAUAUAACGUGGGACUAGCAAGUUCUCCGAUUAAUAAAGUACAGAAGCUUUUGUGUAAGGGUUUGGGCAUCUAUGUUGGCUAGGUAGACAUACUUAUGCUUUGGUUGAUGUUUUGGGCUGUAUUCUGAAGAACUGUUGCUCAAGCAUCUUUUUUUCAGGUAAGUGAAGCACUGUUGUGCUAAAUGGUAUCCUGAUCGUCUAAGGAAGAGUCAAGGCUGUCAGUUCUAGCAUGUCCUAGUCCUCUUGACAUUCCUCUGCCAAAUGGGAAAAGUUUAACGUGGUGAAAUAAAAUGAAAAUGAACUUAAAGCGAAUUCUUCAACAGGAAAAAUUAAAACUCCCCCAAAGAGCAACGUCCAUGGCACAGAGUAGAAGAACGGAGAGAUAUUUGUUUCUGUUGAAGUUUUUCACAAUGAGACGAUUACAGUUGUAUCACUGGGAGUCUCAGGUGUAUUCUUAGCAUCCACUGGGGAGACCUCCUCCCUUCCCUCCUGCUAGUUUCCUGAGUCAUUGUUCAUUUGUACAACUGAGAAAAUGCUAAUUGUGUGCUCAUAUACGGAACCCCCAAAGUUUCAUUUCUGUGGAUUUCAUGUCAAUCCACCACAUUCCUGAAAAGAUUCUUCCAACAGUCUCAUGUCACUCUUAUGAAAACACUUGCUAUUAUGCCUUUGAAUCCUAGCAGUCUCAGUGUUAAUUAUUACCUUGGUUGUAUCUGCCUCAGUGCUGUGUACCAUAGACAAUAAAUGUAAGUGGGGUCUUUAAUAAUAAUUGAUAUUGUUGUUCACUACAGAAAUAAUUCCAUUUGAAAAGAUCACAUAAAAAAGGAAUUUUUUUAAAAAAAAAAAACACUGCUAAUUUCCUUAGUAAGAUGUAUGUGAAACAGAAAAAGGGGAGCAAUCGCAAUUUCUUGGCCAUUAAGCAUGCUGCUUAUCUGCUUAUUAUGAAAUCAGUUCGACAAAAUUAAAACUGCAUUACUUGAAAACUGAUUAGUGAACUAAGCACAGGUAGUUCCUCAUUAACUUAUAAUUUAAUGAUAGAAUUCUGCUGAAAUAUAAUUUUCUCAUUUGGAAAUAAAUUUGUUUUAAAUUACCUUAAUCAUACCGUACAACUUUAUUUUAAACCUUGUUGCAAGCUAGAUUCUUCUCUUCAAAUGAAGAGGGUAUUUGACCCUUGGUAACUCAAUCCCGUUAGUUCUUCCUCUGCUAUGAGAAUGAUUCUUUGCCUUUGGCCUUGAUUGUUCCAUCUUUGAUCAUUCUCACUGCCUGUGAAGGCCAUGGAAUAGUCACUCUUAAACACAGUUUUUUUUUUUUCUUGUCUUCUAAUUUAAAAGUAAAAUAUUGAUAUCAGUUUAUUUAAUGGCUCUUCCUGACUUUCAUAUUGCAGAUCCUUUUUCUAGCUUAUUAUGAAUAUAAUUUAUUGGAUUUCAGAACACCAUUCUACUAUUUUCUAGCUGGGACCUUCCGCUAAAUGCUAUCUAAUAUAUAUUUUAUCCGUCUUGCCUAACAGAGACCCAACAGUACUCACGCCAACAAUAUGUCCAACUGAAAAAAUAUAUCCAUUUUCCAAUGUCCUUAGCAGCUGGAUGACCACCAUGGGCCACAUGGCAAAUCACACGUAAGCAGGUGCCUGCUGGAGGGUUCUGGGAAAAUGUGUUUCCUGAUAUAGGUGCUCUUUUCCUUUUACUGUAGGGAAUGUAAAUGGAAUAGAGCCACAGAGUCAUCUCGAUCUAUGAGAAAAAGGCCACGAGAAUCACAGGGCCCUCACUCAGCCUUGUUAUCCCUGAGCUCCUGAAUCAGUGCCAGAGACCACCUGUGGAGUCCUAAUAAGAUAAGUAAGCAACAUUGAGGAAAGCGCCCUAGGUUGGGGAGAACAAUCUGAGAUGGCUAAUCACAGACAAGCCGCUGGCACAACAUUCUGUUCCCAAAUAUCUCCUUCAGCACGUACUCCCAGUAACUCCAGCAGCAUGACCUCAUUCUGCACAUAGCCCCUCCAUCAUGACCCUAUGAAACUUGCCUUCAAUCCCUGCCUCUUUGCAGACAGCUCCUUCUCUGCUGUGCUGUCCAUUGCACCUUUGCAACAUAUCUUCAUACUUUCUCUAAUAAAUCUGCCUUUCUUUACCUAUUACUGUCUUGGUAAAAUCUCUUACCACCCACAAUGCCCACCCCAGCCAGUGGCACCCAUGACAGGCUUCCGGCUACAUGAGAAAAAAAAGAAAAGAAAAGCAAAACCGAACAAAACACAAAUUAAAAAUCCUUAAUUGUCCCAGCUAUUGUUUGAUUUGGUUUUCUGUUAGUCCAGGCCAAAUGCAAGUCCUGAGUGACAGAAUCAUGUUGGACAAGUCUUUUAAAAUUUGUCCUCCAAUAUUCAUAUGUCUUAUAAAAUGGAGGUAAUAAUAGAACUUAUUUCAUAGGACUUUUAGGAGAAUUGGGAUAAUUCAUGUUAGACCAGUGACAGGUGUAACAUAUGCUUGUUAAAUGAUAGUAACCUAAAAAACUAUUAUUUAUCAAUGAAACAGAGACGGAGUUUCUUAAAAGUUGUUCAGAGGGGUUGGAAAGGCAAUGAUCACUUCUAUGUCCUAGUUCUGUUUCUUAACAACUAUUUUCAGCAUUUCUGUUCUUAAAUUUCUGGGGUUUACUUACAUAUUUCUAUUUAUAUAUGUGUGUGUGUGAUGCUUUUUUCAUGUGUGUGUGUGUGUGUGUGCAUGCGUGUAAUGCUUUUUCUUGACUGAUUUUAGAAUUCGACUAUAAUAUCCUGCUCUGAUUGAGGAGGCUUUAAAUAUUUGACUCCAUCUCUCACCUGCCCUUUCUCCUUGCUUGUGUUAGAGUUCUAUCACUCAUGCCCGUUCCUCCCUGUCACCUCUAAACACUCAAGCAACAUACUCAAACUCUCUUGAUCCAUUCAUUAAAAAUAGUAUCCCUUGGCUCCUCUGUGACAGGAGGACACUUACCUGCCAUUCCUUUUACUUCCAACUCUUGUUAGCUUAAACUCACUUUUAAAUUGUCAGUUUUUAUCUUUGUUCAGCAUUCAUAAUUACAACUUUAUUUGCAUAUAAAUUGAUUCUGAAAGUUUAAAACAAGUCCAAUAAAAAUUUACAUGAGUAUGAAAUUGCAACUAUAGUUUUCUGCUGGGCCAUAUUAGAAUAUAUCAGAUUAUUUGUUUUAGUUCUAACACCGUAACCCACAUGGCUCUCCAAAGGGACAUUCCUAAUAACAAGUAUAUAUGGAUCUUUUUAAGUUCUUUCUUCAGUUGUUGAAACUCUUACAUAUUUUAGCAUGGUUGAUAUUUGGAUAAUACAUUUCUGAUACAUUUAUCCCCACCCCUCUACCUUAACUUUCUUUUGGAGAGAAAAAAAUUAAGUCUUUUUCAUUUAUCUGUCAUCUUGUAGUUUCCUACUGAUUACCUGAACCUACUCCAUUCCUAUACUUGCUAUUUAGACUUUAAGACCAGUACUUUUGUUUAGCUCUCAGAUGUUUUCUUGUAAUAUCUUCCUUAAUUUCCCUCUUCUGGUUUCUCCUUUUCAUUGGCUGAUUAUGCCUGUAAAUACUUGUUGAAUGAAUGAAAAUUGUAAUAUAGUCGUUAGGAAAAUUAUUAGCAUGGUAUUUUCAAAAAGUGUUUUUAAUUCGUAGUGCCAGCUUAUUCAUUGGGCAUUAUUUGGCUUAACUACUAAAGAUGGCAACCAAUAUCAAGGUGAAAGGUGAAACAGAUCAACCUGCCUCUCUCAAAGUUAUGUCAAUAUUCCCCUGCCAUCCCCAAUAUUUUAUAUGUGGAGGUAGAAAUUUAAUCAAGGAAGCCAGAUUUUCUUAGAACUCUUCUUCCUUCCAAAAAGUUAUGGUUAUUUUUUUUUUUUGUGGUACCCGUGUUCCUGCUUCCACGCUAGGCACACAGGUAAUGCAAUCAGGGCUUACUUAGCUGCCAGGCAUCAGAAGCCAGGCAGACAGAGGUACGUGGAAGAGUAGCUUGUCUCUGUGCAAUGGAGUGGAUGGAAGGAAAGAAGAGAUACUAUUGCUGAUGCAGAUUUCUGUUUUCUUUUUCUGGGGAGAGGUGAGUUUGUACUAACAGUAGCACACAGUCUGAAAUCACAAUCAUUUCUAUGACUCAGAGUUGACAUUUUCCCUUCAGUUUGACGUUAAUUGCUUUUAUGUGGGCACCACUGAACACUGUCUGGAUCCAAAAAAGCUCUUGCUUAGCAAAUGCAGAAAAGACACCCAGGAGAGAGAAGGCAGGGGUGCUUUCUUCCACAAUCACCAGAAUAGCAAUUGCUGCUGCUUCUGUGAGUGUAAGGGAGAGACUGAAAUCCAAGUUGCCUUUUUUUUUUUUAAAUAAAAAUCUUUUCAAUAUGAAUGUCUUUCUUUUGACUUAUGAGCUUUUAAACAAAUGUUCCAGAUAGACGAUGUUCUCACAAUACAAAAGUUUAAGUUGUUCAUCCUUCAUUUGCCUGACACAUAUCCAAAAAGUGCAGAAUGUAGAGUAAAUCUCAUUCUCCAACAAAGGACACCUACCACUAUAAAAUUCCAAGACUAAUAGUGCAAUGAAUUGACAUAGUAAGAACUUUGUCCUUUUUAUGAUUGGGUGGAGGAAUAGCCUAAGACGACACAGGCAUUUUUUUUUUAAAUAUAAUAAGGUCAGGAAUAGCAGGUAAUGAUGAUCUCACAAAACACAAUAACUUGUGGAUCUAACUUUUCAUGUUUGUAAACAGUGAUCUUUUUGGCACAUGUAUUCUACUCGUAAGGAAGUCAUGCACAGUUUUCCAUUAUGUCCCAAAACAAAUUGCUGAACACAAUUUAUGGCAUCAUCUUUUCUUUUCUUAACGAUUUUUCAUCAUUUAAAGUCAAACUUACAGCUACUGCUGCUUACUCAUCUUAAAUUGGUUUGAAAUUCAAAAUAGAAACAAGAUAAAGUGUACAUUUUGUACAGAAUAUACGCAAGUGUUUGAAAACUCUUACCUCGAUGCAUAUGCUCCCAGAAUAAAAAUAAAUAUAAGAAUCUCACGUCUCUUGAGGUCACUUUUAAAUAGCGAAUACUAUUAUUUUAGAGCAAUUCUAAGAAAAUUCCUGAAGUUUUUGAUGAAAGGCCUGGAGGUGGCCUUAGCAGACCCCUUCACUUGCCCCUCUUUCUUUUCUAUUUCCCAACUUCAUUUCAUAGACUAUAAUGUCUUUUGCUUAAAAGAAAUUCCCCUCUCUGUGACAUCUUCUCUCAUUUCCUUGGCCUGAAAGGUGUCAACUAUUUGGUAAAUAGAAGUUAUUUUCAUUUGCUUAAGAAAGUGUGGAGCAACUUCUGGGUAAGGAAGUGACAGUCACAGUAACUCUGAGUGGGAAUAAGGUUAGCUUUGGGAAAAAAAAGAUUAGGAAAAUGGAAGCCAUCAUAAUGAAUGGCACCUGGGUCCUCCUACUGAGAAUCCUGACAAGCUGGAGAGAGAAUUAUUCUGGGAAAAGCCUGGAGCAACCAAUUUGCUAGGGGGCCUUAAUUUCUCCCAACUCUAAAUGAAAAGUUUGGAGCACAUGAUGUUAAAAGCCAUUAUGACUCUUAGAUUUUACGUGACCUAUCACUUAUUUUCAAGAAUUCAAAAGCCUCUCCUUUUCCUUUUCCUUUCCCUUCUCCUUCCUUUCCUUUCCCGUCCUUUCCUCUCUCACACCUCCCACAUUUAUUGAGCCAAGCACUAAGUUAGAUCCUGGGAAUACAAAACAGACUAAACUAUUGUUUUUGACUUUCAUCAGCUCACAAAUACAGGAUAGGUUAUCAGACACACUGAUUGAUAAUUACAGUGUAAUAACUAAUUGAAAAUAUGUUCAAGGUUCACAGAACAACAGAUGAAAGAACAGUGGGCUAUUCAUGGAAGUCAUAAGAUGGAGCGAGCGAUGGAUGAACUGAGUUGAUACUGAGUGCCUCGGGAGGCCUAGGACUUUUCUUGGUGGACAAAAGAGAGAAAGGCAGUGUAGGAAAUGACCAUAUUAUAAAGGCAUUACUAUUAAAAUUGUAAAGGCAGAAGAAUCACAAAUAGUUAGGAACUGCUGGAGCAGAACAGUGCAACAGUCAAAGCGGUGAACCAUCAGUACCUGAGGGUAGGGGCUAUGUUUAGUCACUGAUAAACCCUCGGUGCCCAGUGAGAUGCUUGGCACAUACUAGGCCCUCAAUAAAUAUUUGUUCACUAAAUGCACAGAAACUUCAUUUUGCAGGCAACAGAGAAUGAAAAUGAUUUAAAAUAUGAUCAGGAAUGAGUUUAUUUUUUUAAAAGGCCAUUCUUAUGCAGCUGAGCAGGCAGAUUUGUAGAGCAAAGUGUGAGAGAAUUUCAGGAAAUAGGUAGGUAAUGAUUGUACAUUAGACCUGACAAGGGCUUAACAAGACGGCAGGAAGAAGGAGCAGGAAAGAGAUGUGAGAGCUAGUUAGGAAAUUCAGAGAGCAGGUGUGUUAUUUAGAUUGUGCACAAGAAACUGAUACAGAUGAAGUUAAUGAAAACUUCCAGAAAAUCAUACUCAUACCCUUGAGAUAAGUGAAUUAGACUCUUCAAGAAACUCACAACUACAGAGGGGGAAGAAUCUAAAAUUACAAACACUAAAGACUAAUGUUCAGAUUAUAGAACAUAUUUUCAGAGAGCGCAUUUCUUCUGUGACAGCUACUUCAAAAUGUAAUAAUUUAAUGUACAGAGAUCCUCUGCUAAAUUUUUCUUCUAUGUGUGAAAUAAUAUUUAAAAAUCAAAAUGGCCAACAAGUUUGAGAAAAUGACAGUAUCUAUCAAAGCAGCACACAUAAAGAUUUAUGACCAGUCAUUACACUCCAAUAUCCAGCUCUCAGAAAGGCAGAUGUUUGUAGCAUCGUUAUUUAUAGCAGUCCUAAACUCACAACUACCUGAAUGUCUACCAACUGUAAGUAAAUUACUGACUACUACUUAGCAAAGAGAAUGGACAAACUACAAUCACACAGAAAAUAUAGAAGAAUCUCUUAAAUCUCAUAAUAUAAUGUUGAAUAAUAGAAGUCAGACCAAAAAGAUUUUAUUGUAUUAUUUCAUUUACAGAUAUUUUAAAAACAGGUAAGACUAAUCUAUAAUGUUAACUGCCAAUAUAGAGGUAAGUAGGUAGGGUGGAUAUCUAGGGUGCUGGUUAUGCUCUGUUUCUUGAUCUGGAUGUUGAUUAGGUGGAUAUAUUCCUUUUCCAAAACUCCAUCAGGGUAUAGAGUAAGAAACUGUGCACUUUUCUGUGUAUGCUACAUUUCAAUAAAACAUUAAAUAAUCUGGCUCAGUUCCCAUGAGCGUGGUGUUAACUGGCUGCCUCCUCUCAGCUUCCGUUUUUCUGAUUCUUUCCUUUUAUGUUAGAGUGUCAAUGAUUCAGCCCUUGGAUGUCUCCUCUAUCUACAGUCACUUCCUGGCUGAUCUCAUCCAGCUUCAUUAAAAAGUAUGAUGACUUUUUAAUACAAUCAAACACCCAAUGACCCCCAAAUUUACGUGAACUGAACAUGACCAAAACUGAACUUCUGCUAUAUAUUCCUAAACAAAAAAUUAUGCUCUAUUUUAUAUUUUCCCUAUGUCAGUAAAUGAUAUUUCUAUCUUUGCCUCUUGGGCCAAAACUUUUAACAUCAUCUUUGAUUCCAUGCAUCUUUCUUUCACAUGCAACAUAAAAUUCAUAAACAUAUGCUGUCACUUCCUCCUUUAUAAUAUACGUGUGUGUGUGUGUGCAUGUGUAUGUGUACACAUACAUGCAAAUUUGGAUUCCUUUUUAUUUCCUCCACAUUCCACAUUGGUCUAAGUCACUAGCAACUCACCUAAAUGUUUCAAUUGUUUGGUAAUGAAUCUGCUUGCUUCCGUUAUUUCCCCUCUGCCACGCAGUUCAUUAUUGAUUAAAUGUUAAGUCAAAUCACAUCUAUACUCAGCUGAAACCCUCUCAUGGCUUCCAUCUCACUCACAGUAAAAGCCAAAGUCCUUCCAAAGCCUAUGCCACCCUACAGCAAAAUCAAUUGCAAUUGCCUCCUCAGUUCCCUCUGCUACUACUACCUUCCCUCAAUCUUGCUUACCUAGCUGCUGUCACACUUGGCCUUUGCUGUUCCUAAAGUACACCAGACUAUCUUUUGCCUCAGGGCUAUAGUGCAAGUGCAGUGCUGUCUCUCCAGACAUCCUCCUGACUUGCUCCCUCACCUCCUUCCAGUCUUUGCUUAAGUUUCACCUCCCAGAGAUGGCUGCACUGACCACCCUAUUUAAUGCCCUCUUCCACUGCACUCUCCAUCUCUACCUCAUUUUUGUCAAUAUCACUAUCUCUUCCUAAUACACCGCGUGACUGACUUCUUUAUUUUACUCAUUGUGUCUCCCACCUAGAAUGUAUGCUCCACUUCGGCAAGGGUCUUUAUCUGUUUUCUUCACUGCUUUAUCCCCAGCAUCUAGAAUAGAACUUGGUACAUUGCAGAAGGCUUAACAAAAUGCUGUUGAAUAAAUGAGUGAAUGAAUCCAAGUUCUUCAUUUUAUAGAUGAAGAAUGUACCCAAACUGUCAAAGGACUUGAAGGCUCAUAUCCAUUUGACAGAAGAUUAAUGCUAACAUUUCUGAUUUAUAGACAUCUUCUCUAGGGCUCUCUCCUCUUUACUGUGUUCCUUCCUAGGGCCAGAAUUUCAGAACUCGUGGAUAUGAGUUCUGUCCCAUUUAGUUCCUUCUCAAGAAGAGCCAAAAUUAUGGCCUUUAAGGGCAACAUAUUUUAUUUGCAACAAAGUCUUACUUUUUUCAGCAAGAAAAAAAAAAACACCCAUAUUUGUCUCCUCCAGCAGUAAUUUCUCGUUUGCUUGGUUUGCAUUUGUUGAAUUAAUGGGUUGAGUGUUGUAAGGUAAACUUGUAGAACAUUGUGUAACGAUUGUAUUCUUCUUGACUUUUAAAUUUGGCCCAAAGGCAUGAUUUGUCUCCCUUAUUCUUUAAUUUUCAAGUUACGUGUUUAAAAAUGGAAUCUGGAGACAUCCAAAAGAUUUUCUUUUAUAUUAUUCUGUACCUCUUUCCUUUAUAAGGGAUGAGAGAUGCUGUGGUUAAGAAUAGGAUACAAUCUAAGUCACAAAAAAAGUAACCUAUUAUAAAACUUCUGAAAAAUGUCCACAAUGACCAUUAAGGGGGCAGAGGGUUCUCUGUCUAUUGAAAAAUGUUGUCUUAAAAGGUCACAUUUCUUAAGCACCCAGAGGGCUCUAGGAAUGGUUUGGAAGUUAGAGAAUGAACAAAUGUGGUGGAGAGUGCUGAUUCUGCUCUGCAAGAUAAUGUUACGUGCUUUCCCCAUUGUAUUCAGUGGUCAGGACCUGAGGUUUUAUUUAGCACAAUGUUUUUCUUAAUGUGAAUCUAGAACAAAAGCUGCCUAUGGAAGCCCCCAAGUCUUACUCAGACCAUACUUGUGUUUUUUUGGUUCACAUAGUGUUUUUAAACAACUGUUGCCAAUAUUUAACAUCUUUCAUGGAUUCUGCAGCUCCUUUUAGAAGAAAAUUCAAGAUCUGGCAAUACUGUGCCCAAGCUUCUUUAAGGAAGAGAUUGUCAAAGUGUGGUGCCUGGACCAGCAGCAUUAGCAUCACCUGGGGACCAGUUAGAAAUGCAGAUGCUCAGGCUCCAUCCCAGACCUGCUGGGGCUGGGGCGCAACAAUGUGUGUUUUAAUAGGCUCUCUAGGUGACUGUGAUACCUGAUGCUCCAAGGUAACAGUAGUACUUGCAAAUCUUAAGUUCUGACUGAGCAGUUUCAGUGGGGCAGGGGGAAAUACUCUACAGAACAUCACAGCCAGGGAAGGCAAAAUAUUCUCCAUAGCUUCAUUAAUUAUACCGGGAACAUCAAGUAGCCCCUGGGAAAAUCUCUGCAGAUACACUCCUGAUGGGGAAUAUUACAAGGAUUGGAGAUAAAAAUCCCUAAGGAAAAUUAGUGGGUAGGAACCCACAGAGAGGAGGAAAUUAACUAUAUUUUAGAUAGGACUGCACAAAGGCUUAAUGCAACUUAAGAUAUGCAGAUUGAUGUGUAAUAUAAAUAUAUUCACUCUUAGCAAAAGCUUCCCUGAAAGCCACUGCCAUUUAUUGCACGCUUUUAAUUGAGAUUUAGUGCAUCCCAUAAAUUGGUCACUUUUUAAAAAAGGAAUAUAAUUCAUUUGGGGAAAGAUAUUUUAAAAAUAUUUUGCAAACAUUUCGAAUCUGUUUUUUUCUGUACUCAUUUAUCCAUCUAUUCAUAUGCAGGGAAAUAAAGUAUAUGUCACAUAGACAAUGUUCAUUGAACUGAACUCUCUCCAAGUAUAAAUGAUACUAUAGAAAUAAAUGAGUAACUUGGCUCUUAAAGAGAGAAAGUUGAUUCUGUUUAUAAAAUACUUGGAAAGCAUAGUUUCUAAAAACCUUCGAAUAUUAAAACUAGUUGGCAUUUUGUGCAUCCCAUUAUAAGAAUUAAAGUCAAUAUUACGUAAGUGUUAGAAAUAAACCCCUGCCAAUAAUCACUAAUGACAUAGAAACCAGGCC